This is a non-coding RNA of Triticum aestivum (bread wheat), 126 nucleotides long. The record is from Rfam. NCBI's taxonomy places the organism in Eukaryota, Viridiplantae, Streptophyta, Magnoliopsida, Poales, Poaceae.
CUUGUACUCUCUCCGUCCGAAAAUACUUGUCAUCGUCCCUUUUUAUCCAUUUUGAUGACAAGUAUUUAGAUACAUCCCUUUUUAUCCAUUUUGAUGACAUGUAUUUUCGGACGGAGAGAGUAUCAA